GAGUCGCUAGCUCAGUUGGUAGAGCAUCGCCCUUUUAAGGCGGGUGUCCCCGGUUCGAUCCCGGGGCGGCUCACCA
This 76-nucleotide transfer RNA is filed under the name Nitrospira sp. RNAcentral's name for it is "tRNA-Lys". It matches the Rfam family "tRNA". Rfam says of the family: Transfer RNA (tRNA) molecules are approximately 80 nucleotides in length. RNAcentral also lists the same sequence under 1 other name. Lineage: Bacteria; Pseudomonadati; Nitrospirota; Nitrospiria; Nitrospirales; Nitrospiraceae. The record is from RNAcentral.